Molecule: ribosomal RNA, 207 nt
Filed under: uncultured bacterium
Lineage: Bacteria
Description: partial 16S ribosomal RNA
Rfam family: Bacterial small subunit ribosomal RNA
Source: RNAcentral
CGCGUAGGCGGAAUGGUAAGUCAGAUGUGAAAGACCGGGGCUCAACCCCGGGACCGCAUUUGAAACUGCUAUUCUUGAGGAUAGGCGGAGAAAACGGAAUUCCACGUGUAGCGGUGAAAUGCGUAGAUAUGUGGAAGAACACCAGUGGCGAAGGCGGUUUUCUAGCUUAUACCUGACGCUAAUGCGCGAAAGCAAGGGGAUCAAACA